AAGGGUUUGGCUGUUCGCCAAUGAAAGUGGUACGUGAGCUGGGUUCAGACCGUCGUGAGACAGGUCGGUCCCUAUCUGCUGUGGGCGCACGAAACUUGCGGAGAAUCUUCCUUAGUACGAGAGGAUUGGGAAGGACGUUCCUCUGGUGUCCCAGUUGUCGCGCUAGCGGCACGGCUGGAUAGCUAUGAACGGAACGGAUAAACGCUGAAAGCAUAUAAGCGUGAAGCCCGCUCCAAGAUCAGGUUUCGUAGGACAAUAGUCCGAAAGUCCCCUGGAAGACGACCAGGUCGAUAGGCCGGAUGUGUACGUGCAGCAAUGCACUCAGCUAACCGGUACUAACGGACGAACGCUUGACCAC
Molecule: ribosomal RNA, 358 nt
Filed under: Pirellulales bacterium
Lineage: Bacteria; Pseudomonadati; Planctomycetota; Planctomycetia; Pirellulales
Description: partial 23S ribosomal RNA
Rfam family: Bacterial large subunit ribosomal RNA
Source: RNAcentral